Molecule: long non-coding RNA, 512 nt
Organism: Monodelphis domestica (gray short-tailed opossum)
Lineage: Eukaryota; Metazoa; Chordata; Mammalia; Didelphimorphia; Didelphidae
Source: RefSeq, a predicted model, not a curated record
CAAUAACCCUGGAAUGAGGUGAUUAGAGCCUACAAAAUGGUGGCGUGUGACUUGAAAGAAAAGGAGAUGUGGAGAGAUGCUAUGAAGGUAUCGCAUUUCUGCUGCUCUCUUCUGGGCAUCAUUUCUUCCCUCCAGUUAUCCAGGGGUGAUUACAGCUUCAGUGACUGAAUACUCUGUUCACUCUCUCCUGAACUGUGGCAAGUAAGCUCAGCGUUUGAUAUUUCUACAUUCUCAUGGAAAAGAAGCCAGUGAUGAAACUGUUUCCUACUUUUUUACAUCAUAUCUUCUGUUCUAUACAAAUCACAAGAGCUGGGCUGGGAAAAGCUGAAAGACCUGGUGACCCUUGUUCUUCUUCCUCUCAGCAAUAUAUCACAAUCUGGUAUCCUUUUUCUGUUUUGUUUUGUCUUUAAAUAUCUGGCUUAAAAUAAAAUUUUAACUUAAACUGAACAGAUAAAGCUAGCAGCUACAGAAAACAGUCCUUAUAUAUUAUUCCUUUAUGUAGUGAUUCUUAA